AGCGCAGACGGUUAUUUAAGCAAGAUGUGAAAGCCCCGGGCUCAACCUGGGAACUGCGUUUUGAACUGGGUAACUAGAGUGUGUCAGAGGGGGUAGGAAUUCCACGUGUAGCAGUGAAAUGCGUAGAGAUGUGGAGGAAUACCGAUGGCGAAGGCAGCCCCCUGGGAUAACACUGACGUUCAUGCUCGAAAGCGUGGGUAGCAAACA
Molecule: ribosomal RNA, 207 nt
Filed under: uncultured bacterium
Lineage: Bacteria
Description: partial 16S ribosomal RNA
Rfam family: Bacterial small subunit ribosomal RNA
Source: RNAcentral